UCCUGGGGGCGGCGCUAUAAAAACCCGGAUGCCUGUCUGCACCCAGACUCACCGACCCAGACCACUCAGAGUGUAUGACCCUGCCCUUGGGUAGGGAGGGUUCCCUAGGUAGUGCCCUUUGGGCCAGGAGGGAAAAUCACCAAAUAAGCACCCUGCGGCGUGUUGGGCGCAGGCUUUGGUGCAGUGGACUGAGGAGGAGACCGGUACACCUUCUGUCUCUAACAAGAUUCUGGUAUAAAUGCAAGGAUGGGGAGCAGAGCCAGGAGAGGGGACUGUCUUGUUUUAGCCUCCCAAAGGAAAGGGUGUCUCAGGGACCAGCUCAGUGGGAGAGUGCUUGGCAGUAUGAACAAAGUCCUGACUCUUCCCCUUUGGUAGUUCUGCGACACUGGGCAAAGGCAAUUAUGCUCUGCGCAUCGUUUCUUUUUCCGUAAAGUGGGGUUGCUAACUGUCAUGGCCACCUCACAGGACCAGUGUGAGGACGGCACACGAGGAUGCAAUGCGACCUCCGAUCAGUGGCCGACGCCUCCUUGGAAGGCAGUGCUUGCUAUCCAUCAGGAACAUGGCCAGCCGGAGACUGGAAAUUUUAAGUAACUCCCAUGUUUGUCUAUCUUGGAGCUCUUCUCAAAUCUGCACACCUGCUUUAACCACUCCUAUGACUACCUAACCAAGAGCUUCCCAGGUACGCUGCUGAUGGAGUCUUAGCUCUCCUGAGACCACCUAGAGAAGACAUUAGAAACCGGAGGCUCGUUUCUAAAGAUCAUCACCUUCCUCAGGCUGUGGGGGUGAGACUCCCUGAACACCUCCCGCUGUGCAGGCUCCGGUGGAUGGCUCCGUAUGCCAGUUUUUGUUUGUUUGUCUGUUUGUUUUUAAAGUUUGCUAAUAGACUCACUCCACAGGCAUCACUCAAGAGACCCAAAGCUGACGUGUAGGGCUCCUGUCCUAACCCCCCAGCCAAGCUUCCUGAGUACAUUUGGAUCCUGCAGCCCUAUAGUGGGGCUUGCUCGGUAUGCCCUCCCACAACCCUGUCCGAACAGAAGGCUUUUUUGAUGGUAAGGACAGUGUCCUUCUUGAAUUCUCGUCACCAAGCAAAAAUGCCGGACAGGCUGUCUGAUGCUCACGUAGUAUUCAUUAUCGGUGUGAGGACAACAAGAGACUGCAGACUGGGUCCGCGCCUCCCUUCUCCGGGCCUCAGCCUUCUCCAGCUCUUAGGCUGCCCCUGGACCAGCAGUUAUUCUCCCGCUGCUCAGGGUCCACUCUAUUUUUCCAUCUGAGCUGUGCCAACUAGUUUUACUUCAACUUGCCACAAGCUAGAGUAAUCUGAAAGGAGGGAACCUUCAUUGAAAAAAAGGCCUUCAUAAGAUGCAGCCGUAAGGCAUUUUCUCAGUGAUUGAUGGGGGAGGGCCCAGCCCAUCGUGAAUGGUGCCUGGGUUCUGAGAAAUCCAUGAUGAAGAAGCCAGUAAGCAGGACCCCUCCAUGGUAUCUGCAUCAGUUCCUGCCUCCCGGUUCCUGCCUUAUUUGAGUUUCUGUCCUGAACUCUUUCAACAAUGAACAGUGAUUUGGAAGGUCAAUCAGCUUGUCCAGUCAACCGCCACGCUGCGUCCUCUGUGCAAACAUCGUCAUGGCUCCCACAGCCGAGGCUGUCAUCAGCUUGCAAUCCUUAGCCUGAGACACCAGCGGAUCUUUUUGCCUCCGUUCUUGCUUCCUGGCUAAUCCAUCAUUCUCACCUCUGCUGACAGUUCUUCCAUGAUGGGCGGAGAAGAUGAGUCCAUGGGGCCCGGCCUAGAAUCGCUGCUCAGAAAGCAUGCGGGAGCUGACUGACGGACUCUCAUGGCUGUCGUGAGGAGGAAACACGUACUGGAGUGUGUCUUCAAGACACUACUCGGAAGACCGGCAGUUUAUGGUGAAGCUGGACCCACACUGCCAUGACAACAGCUUUCCUCCUUCGUGGGCACCAAAGAGAAAUGACGGCACACUCCUGAAAGAUGCCUGCCGCAAGAACGCCUACAGUGGCCUGGUGAUAACCGUCAACGCCUGGAAACGGGUGAGGCCAUCAGGAAGAGACCAGACAUGCACACACGUGUCUUUUUCAUUUGUACAUCGGAAAUCCACUGGCAAGGAAGAGUUUCUGUUGGUGUGCCUCCUGCACUUGUGGGGGCAGUGUGUUGAUCAAAGGUCACUGCUCUCAGAAAGAGAGGACACGCUGCCUGAGUCUAUUUAUGUGGGAUUCAGAAUGGAGCAAACUGUCCUGGGUGUGCCCCAUGACCCCUUCCAGAGCCAUUCAUGGGCCUAGGGUGAUGCACACAGCUUUUUUACAUAGAGUGAGACACACUGGUGUGUGGGGGGGAUGGGUUUGCAUUGACAAAUGGUGCUGGGGUCAGCGCGGAUGCCGUGGGUGGAAAGAAUGUCUUAGCCCUGGUAAUUUUGGAAAGCUAUGUGUAAGGCUGCAUUCACCAACAAAGGCUUGCAGAACAGCUGGGAAAACAGAGCGCUUUCAAAGACCACCGCGGAGGAAGCUGCGGCCCCGCGCGAGAGUUGGAUCCCGAAAUGGCACACACGUGGAGAGUGUGACCCCAGCAGUGACCGCUGCUCUGGCAGGUGGCUUCCUGCCCAGGCAGGGAGGGGAGGUGGUGAUGGCUGGGAAGGAAAACGGUGAUAAAUCUUUUUGAAAGCCAUAAGCCCUGGUCCUUGGGGUUGUGCUGGUUGAGGGUGUUCCUCCACCCAGUGGAAGGAGACAGUCAUUGGGGGCCCUUUUCGCUGCAUCUAAAAUUGCGGCAAGAGCACACAGAACAGGAAGAGCACACAAAAAAUACCUGUGAGGUAUCUAUUUAAUAGACCAUAUAUCAAUCAAAACUCCAGAGGCAACAUACAGAAGGACAAUGCCUUCUUCCGGGUCUCUCUCCCGGAAGCAGCUCUGCAACCAUUUCCUCUGUCAUACAUCUAUCUUGUUGCAACAAUGGCUUUAGCCGGUUGGAAAACACAAAGAUUAAAAUGAACUGCUCGAUGUGUACCCAGAAUUUGGUGAACCUUACAGUCAGCAAAUUCAGAAAAAGGUAUAAUGACAGGGCCAUGGGAAUGGGCUAUGUGCGGGGGGUAGGGGUUGGGUUGCAGAUGUGCACCUGUGGGACUAUUUGGCGGUGCUGUUCAUUAGUCACUCACGUGGUACUUACAAUGUGUGCUCUCCUCGGGUGUCCUGCCUUCAGACUGGUGGAGGAAAGAGUGGAUGAGAAGUUGGAAAAGUGUUUUGUUGUUCUUCACAUCUGGUUUCCAAAGGAGAGCCUGCAGAUGUGUAGAUGGAGGUUACUUGUGCAUUUCCUGGGAGCCCAGACCCGAGUAAAUCACAUAGAAACUGUAUUAACUACAAUACUGUUUGGCCAAUAGCUUAAGCAUAUUUCUAGCUAGUUCUUA
Molecule: long non-coding RNA, 3405 nt
Organism: Myodes glareolus (Bank vole)
Lineage: Eukaryota; Metazoa; Chordata; Mammalia; Rodentia; Cricetidae
Source: RefSeq, a predicted model, not a curated record